AUGGCGCACGCCGCCCAUCCAGAAGACAUAAUUGCGGAGUUGACUUCCAAGGUUGAAAGAAUAUUUCACGAAGUAGGCACUCCGCUUCCUUUAGAGGAAGGUGAAUCUGCGCGAUCGUUCACUCAAAAUCAUGUAUUGUGGAAUAGUGAGGGAGGAGAUACUCUUCAAAAAAUCUUCUCUGAUUAUACGGAAGCCGGGGACGCAAGUGAAUUCAUCGCAAUAGCCACCAAUCUGGCGAAGUGGUUUCGCCGCGCCGAGCUCGGUGAACCGGAUUCUCCUGACCCCGAUGCGCCUUUGGAAGAGCAGGAGGAUCAUUCCACGGGAUCCCCUGAAAGCACAAAAGCAAAUGAUGGGGCGAACAAGGCAGGCCCGUCUUCUUCGCAGAAGCAUAAAAGGUGGGAUGAUGAUUCGGGGUCCGAAGAUGAUGAUUCAGGGGGCCCCGGGGAAUCUCCAGAUCCAGUGGAAAUCAUUUACAGAGGGGAUGCACAAGGGUACAACUGGGAGGGGAAUUAG
Molecule: ribosomal RNA, 513 nt
Filed under: Triticum aestivum (bread wheat)
Lineage: Eukaryota; Viridiplantae; Streptophyta; Magnoliopsida; Poales; Poaceae
Description: partial small subunit ribosomal RNA
Source: RNAcentral